Molecule: long non-coding RNA, 231 nt
Filed under: Ursus thibetanus thibetanus
Lineage: Eukaryota; Metazoa; Chordata; Mammalia; Carnivora; Ursidae
Description: lncRNA (ENSUTTG00000019163.1)
Source: RNAcentral
CAUGUUGAGGAACUCUACUGGGCACCAGAAGGAGCUAAGAUGGAGCGUUCUGAUUGCCAGACAUUGUUCCCAGCCCACAAAUGUGGAAAGCCCUGGGCCUGGACCUGUCUCGCCUUGAGUGACAAGAUCUGACUCUUCUCAGAGGAGCAGGUGAGGACUCAGGUAAAUUAGGAGGCCCUUGCUAUGCAGACUCCAGGAGCUAGCUCUGUGGGGAGGGUCAACUCUGUGAGG